This 346-nucleotide ribosomal RNA is filed under the name uncultured Anoxybacillus sp. RNAcentral describes it as "bacterial SSU rRNA". It matches the Rfam family "Bacterial small subunit ribosomal RNA", at positions 1035 to 1382 of the family's 1533-position model. The record is from RNAcentral. Lineage: Bacteria; Bacillati; Bacillota; Bacilli; Caryophanales; Anoxybacillaceae.
CAGGUGGUGGCAUGGUUGUCGUCAGCUCGUGUCGUGAGAUGUUGGUUAAGUCCCGCAACGAGCGCAACCCUCGACCUUAGUUGCCAGCAUUCAGUUGGGCACUCUAAGGUGACUGCCGGCUAAAAGUCGGAGGAAGGUGGGGAUGACGUCAAAUCAUCAUGCCCCUUAUGACCUGGGCUACACACGUGCUACAAUGGGCGGUACAAAGGGUCGCGAACCCGCGAGGGGGAGCCAAUCCCAAAAAGCCGCUCUCAGUUCGGAUUGCAGGCUGCAACUCGCCUGCAUGAAGCCGGAAUCGCUAGUAAUCGCGGAUCAGCAUGCCGCGGUGAAUACGUUCCCGGGCCUU